Ictalurus punctatus (channel catfish) is the source of this 673-nucleotide long non-coding RNA. The record is from Ensembl. NCBI's taxonomy places the organism in Eukaryota, Metazoa, Chordata, Actinopteri, Siluriformes, Ictaluridae.
UGUCUAUUCCCUAAUGUCUAUAAGAUCUACUCAGACCUGCUCUAUGCAUUCUGACAAGCGAAGGACCUACACUGAAUGGCGUGGAGAAAGUGUCUGAGGGAAGAAAGAAAAAAGAGAAAGUAGAGUAAGAGCUCCAUCAUAGUCAGGGUCACUGUGGAUCCAGAUCCUGGGAACACUGGGUACAAAGAGCUGACGGGCCCCAGGGUAUGGAGGCUAGCGGUCUUCGUUCAUUGGUGGUGGGAGUUUCCUUGCUGUUGUGUUCUUGUUGCUGCAUCAACGCGGUCAACAUCAUCAACAUCAUCGCGAUGUGAGUGUGGUUGUGUGGUCUGGAGUGGUGUUCGGGGACCCAUUAAAUCGUCAGCCAGCCUACCCGGCUUCUGAUGUGAUGUGGUUCGGUGUAUCCAAGUCCGUUGCGUCUCUACAGCAGGGGACAGCAUUGAGCCAGUGUCAGCGUCUCACCUGUUCAAGCCAGAGAGGAAAGCUGAAGUUUCUGUAACAUAACACAACAUUUCAAAAUAAGUCAUGGUCCUACAUAUGCAAGCUAAUAAGAGAGAAAUGAAAAUCUGACAAUUUACAUAAAACCUAUGACUUAUUGCUCAUUACUAUCCGCUGGCUAUUUCAUGCAUUUGUUACUAGGGUAAACAAAAUCUGAAUAUGGAAAAUUCCAGCACAU